Bemisia tabaci is the source of this 2693-nucleotide non-coding RNA. Lineage: Eukaryota; Metazoa; Arthropoda; Insecta; Hemiptera; Aleyrodidae. The record is from RefSeq and is a predicted model, not a curated record.
CAUGCCUGCACAAUUUUGUUAUGGAUUGUACCCUCAUUUAUGUACUCAAGCAAUUUUAAUCCUCAAUCUUGUUUUCAUUUUUCAGGAUGCGAUGUUCUUUGAGAAAGCAGGAAAUGAAGAAACAGAUCGCCCGGGAAUGUUUUGAAGAACUUUUUUCAAAUGGUGUUUUGCGGCGCUUCUGUUUCCUAUGCUUAAUGGCAACCCCAAAAUGUUCUGUAUGCCUUCAUUUUCUCCAUUCAAGAUCUGAGCCUUCGAUUUUGACUUUAUACCUCCCUUGAGAUGGACCACUGAAAUAUGACAAGAGAAUGAGCUGAAUUUUUUAGUAAGCUAUCAGGUUGAGUCAUACUAUCAUAGGCGCAUCUUUUCGUAAUUUUUCUAGAACCAAGCUGUUUGUUUCAAGUCUCACAAUUUUACAUCUCCUUUGAUGCAUCAUCUUAGACUUUCUCUUUUUGAAACAACUCAGGAAGAAACCCAAUCGAAUGUCCAAACUUUUCAAUGUCACAGAAUUGGUAAAUCAUAAUGUAUCGAGUAUUUCAGCUCAUGUCAUUUCUUAAAUUAUCUGCUACAUAGCUUUUGAAUUUCAGUAUUGGCAGUGCGCUGCAGGGCUUUUGAUCUGCUCAUAGUUUUUAGUCUAAGUGUAAUCUACCGUUUUUUAAUUAUUCCUUGCCAUAUUGAAUUUUGCUCCAUUCAUUUGCUCUCUUUUCCCCGUAAUUUUAAGGUUUAUAUUGAGAAUCAGAAAGGGCGGGAAACGAUAUGAAAAGAAAAUAAAUAAAACCAUCAUUUUCCGGUUGAAUUUGAAAAACUGGUGCUGCACUAUGGUCGUUGAUAUGGCUUGGGCUUCAGUAUUUACAGGCAUUUUUAACCAAGCAACCUGGGAACUUUGUAAUAAUUUUUUUUUACUUUCUGCAACAGUAAGCAUCCUAUGUUCACUUAACACAAGACCAGGUAUAGGCGAUGUAUUGUUACUUAGCUCUUCAAUCUGCUGUUGUCGGGGUAACCUUUACACCCGACAGCUUUACAAUUGUUUAGUUUUCAGUGUGACUGACAGAGCGCGUCAAAAAAAACAACUUUUGGCUGUUUGCGAUAACUUGAGAGGCAAAGCAUCUGCUUAUCAGGCUAAUUUUCUUAAAAAACUUCCUCUCGACGCUCUAAUCCUCAUUUUAUUUUUCUGAUAAUUUUUUUUAAGUAUGAAGGUUGUCAGGCUAUGUGUUUGAGCACACCUUCCCUCCUUAUGCGCAUUUCCUUUAAGUGUGCUGGUAAUGAAUUAUUUUAAACGAUUUUUGGCGUUUAAUUCUCGCAAAAAUGUUUCAAUUACACAAGGAGAAAGGGUACAUGUUCAUCACCUCCUGAACAUCUUUCAGCACCAUUCUGUUCUUUCUGCACAAUAUGUAUACCUCGGAUGUUGCAGGGAUGCAGUCACAAGAAAUAAAGUAUUACGUGUAGUAUCAGCUUUCAGUUUAACAAGCCCUUUUUUUUAUUAAGUUGCCUUGAACGCAACUCAACAUUUUAUUUUCUCUAUUCUCGUAUGUUGAAAUGCAUCAAAGAUUUGUCUUUUAUUCCUGACUAUUACACUUUUUCAUUUCUUUUUUUUUUCAUCUACACUUACACUCAGAGCUAUAGCUCUUAAGUAGUGGUAAACAUUUAUCUAAUGUAACAACAAAGGCAUAUGAGAGUUAAAAGUCACUUUUGCUAAGGCCUAUUCCCUAAAAUUUUCUUCCAUGGAACAAUUCUAAAACCCCCCUGAUUAAAUACUAAUUACUGUUGGCCUGAUAUAAAUUUAUCAGUUUACUUUUUUCCGUUUUCCAAUGAAACUCAAUAUUGAACUUGACUUUCCGAAAAUCAUUUCACAUACUGAAUAUUAUACUCUACAUGCUUCCUCUGCUUUUAUUUUGGGUGGAUCGAUGCUUGUUAUACAUGUUUGUAAUGUCUUACCAUAAUUCUUGUCAUCCAUGAUUCAUUUCAGAUCUUAGUUAUGUCAUAUGGUUUUAUUUUAUAAUGAAAACCGUCUCAUUAUUCAUCAUUUGAUGAGAUAGGUAGAUUGUGCAAUAUUGUCAUCACAUCACUUUUCUUUUAUCGCUCAGCUUUCUUUUAGCGCCAUGACUUUGUAAGUUUUUCAUGACAGCACAAGUCCAGCAAGCUCCAAAAAUAUUCAGUUAAAAGAACUUUCUGUCUCUCUCUUGUUUGCCUUUCUUUAUACGCAUGAAUUUAUAAUCUGUUUUACUUAGCCUUUUGGCUCUUUUAUUUUUUAAAUGUAUUUUUAUUUUAGCAUAUUUACACUUUUUCUAAAGUUACUCUGUUUGGCCUUUAUUGCUGAUGUGUAGUUGGCAGAUUUUCUUUACUUACUUCAGUCUGUUACCUCAGGUCUCUUCAAGGGCUUACUGUUUUUCUAACCUUUAUAUUAGAAUAUUAUUCAUUACAAUGAAAUUCUGUCAUGAAAACGCAGCAACAAGAUAUGUAAUAAUUCAAUGAUCGUUAUUUUUUACAAGUUUAUUUAAAAUUUUUUAACAGUACCCUACCCAGUAUUUUAAAAUUAUUCUUCAAAGAGGCGGUAUUAGUCUUAAGUCGUUUGUAUUUAUUUUUUAAUGUCUAAUAAGUUAUCCAGCUACUAAAUGUAAGCUUAUAUUUAUUCAUAAUUUAUUUUCUUACACAUGUACGUUUUGUUAUUGGUUCAAUAAAAGUUUAUUAAUAUUUCA